This 448-nucleotide ribosomal RNA is filed under the name uncultured bacterium. Its description in RNAcentral is "bacterial SSU rRNA". It matches the Rfam family "Bacterial small subunit ribosomal RNA", at positions 329 to 793 of the family's 1533-position model. The record is from RNAcentral.
UUCCAGACUCCUACGGGAGGCAGCAGUGGGGAAUAUUGCACAAUGGGGGAAACCCUGAUGCAGCGACGCCGCGUGGGCGAGGAAGUACCUCGGUAUGUAAAGCCCUAUCAGCAGGGAAGAAACAGGACAGUACCUGACUAAGAAGCCCCGGCUAACUACGUGCCAGCAGCCGCGGUAAUACGUAGGGGGCGAGCGUUAUCCGGAAUUACUGGGUGUAAAGGGAGCGUAGACGGCGAGGUAAGCCUGAAGUGGAAGCCCGCGGCCCAACCGCGGAACUGCUUUGGGAACUGUUUUGCUGGAGUAUGGGAGGGGUAAGCGGAAUUCCUGGUGUAGCGGUGAAAUGCGUAGAUAUCAGGAGGAACACCGGUGGCGAAGGCGGCUUACUGGACCAUAACUGACGUUGAGGCUCGAAAGCGUGGGGAGCAAACAGGAUUAGAUACCCGUGUAA